UCCAAAAUAGCUCAGUUGAGAAAGCAUUAGACUGAUGUUCUAAAGGUUCCAGGUUAGAUCCGGGUUUCGGCA
Molecule: non-coding RNA, 72 nt
Organism: Cordylochernes scorpioides
Lineage: Eukaryota; Metazoa; Arthropoda; Arachnida; Pseudoscorpiones; Chernetidae
Source: the annotation of a GenBank genome assembly